GACGAACGCUGGCGGCGUGCCUAAUACAUGCAAGUUGAGCGCUGAAGGUUGGUACUUGUACCAACUGGAUGAGCAGCGAACGGGUGAGUAACGCGUGGGGAAUCUGCCUUUGAGCGGGGGACAACAUUUGGAAACGAAUGCUAAUACCGCAUAAAAACUUUAAACACAAGUUUUAAGUUUGAAAGAUGCAAUUGCAUCACUCAAAGAUGAUCCCGCGUUGUAUUAGCUAGUUGGUGAGGUAAAGGCUCACCAAGGCGAUGAUACAUAGCCGACCUGAGAGGGUGAUCGGCCACAUUGGGACUGAGACACGGCCCAAACUCCUACGGGAGGCAGCAGUAGGGAAUCUUCGGCAAUGGACGAAAGUCUGACCGAGCAACGCCGCGUGAGUGAAGAAGGUUUUCGGAUCGUAAAACUCUGUUGGUAGAGAAGAACGUUGGCGAGAGUGGAAAGCUCAUCAAGUGACGGUAACUACCCAGAAAGGGACGGCUAACUACGU
RNAcentral lists this ribosomal RNA (496 nucleotides) under uncultured bacterium. RNAcentral's name for it is "partial 16S ribosomal RNA". It matches the Rfam family "Bacterial small subunit ribosomal RNA", at positions 28 to 506 of the family's 1533-position model. The record is from RNAcentral.